AUUGAACGCUGGCGGCAGGCCUAACACAUGCAAGUCGAACGAGUGGCGGACGGUUGAGUAAUGUCUGGGAAACUGCCCGAUGGAGGGGGAUAACUACUGGAAACGGUAGCUAAUACCGCAUACCAUCGGAUGUGCCCAGAUGGGAUUAGAUAGUAGGUGGGGUAACGGCUCACCUAGGCGACGAUCCCUAGCUGGUCUGAGAGGAGGACCAGCCACACGGGAACUGAGACACGGUCCAGACGCCUACGGGAGUGAGUAGUGGGGAAUAUUGCACAAUGGGCGCAAGGCUGAUGCAGCCAUGCCGCGUGUAUGAAGAAGGCCUUCGGGUUGUAAAGUACUUUCAGCGAGGAGGCGUUACUCGCAGAAGAAGCACCGGCUAACUCCGUGCCAGCCGCCGCGGUAAUAC
Molecule: ribosomal RNA, 406 nt
Filed under: uncultured bacterium
Lineage: Bacteria
Description: partial 16S ribosomal RNA
Rfam family: Bacterial small subunit ribosomal RNA
Source: RNAcentral